This 404-nucleotide ribosomal RNA is filed under the name uncultured bacterium. RNAcentral's name for it is "partial 16S ribosomal RNA". It matches the Rfam family "Bacterial small subunit ribosomal RNA", at positions 30 to 526 of the family's 1533-position model. The record is from RNAcentral.
AUUGAACGCUGGCGGCAGGCCUAACACAUGCAAGUCGAGCGAGCGGCGGACGGGUGAGUAAUGUCUGGGAAUUGCCCAGUCGAGGGGGAUAACCGUUGGAAACGAGUGCUAAUACCGUAUACGAUUGGAUUGCCCAGGUGGGAUUAGCUAGUUGGUGAGGUAAUGGCUCAUCACGGCGACGCUCCCUAGCUGGUCUGAGAGGAUGAUCGGCCACACUGGGACUGAGACACGGACCAGACGCCUACGGGAGGCAGCGGUGGGGAAUAUUGCACAAUGGGGGAAACCCUGAUGCAGCCAUGCCGCGUGUAUGAAGAAGGCCUACGGGUUGUAAAGCACUUUCAGCGGGGAGGCGUUACUCGCGGAAGAAGCACCGGCUAACUCCGUGCCAGCAGCCGCGGUAAUUC